AUUUAAAUAGUUUAUUAAAAAUAAGGGUUUGUGGGGCCUUAGAUGAAUUUUUCUUUAAAUU
RNAcentral lists this transfer RNA (61 nucleotides) under Illinigina sp. EMHAU-15062817. RNAcentral's name for it is "tRNA-His". The record is from RNAcentral. Lineage: Eukaryota; Metazoa; Arthropoda; Insecta; Hemiptera; Cicadellidae.